This 590-nucleotide ribosomal RNA is filed under the name uncultured bacterium. Its description in RNAcentral is "partial 16S ribosomal RNA". It matches the Rfam family "Bacterial small subunit ribosomal RNA", at positions 355 to 1375 of the family's 1533-position model. The record is from RNAcentral.
UGGGGAAUUUUGGACAAUGGGCGAAAGCCUGAUCCAGCAAUGCCGCGUGUGUGAAGAAGGCCUUCGGGUUGUAAAGCACUUUUGUCCGGAAAGAAAUCCUUGGCUCUAAUACAGUCGGGGGAUGACGGUACCGGAAGAAUAAGCACCGGCUAACUACGUGCCAGCAGCCGCGGUAAUACGUAGGGUGCAAGCGUUAAUCGGAAUUACUGGGCGUAAAGCGUGCGCAGGCGGUUUGCUAAGACCGAUGUGAAAUCCCCGGGCUCAACCUGGGAACUGCAUUGGUGACUGGCAGGCUAGAGUAUGGCAGAGGGGGGUAGAAUUCCACGUGUAGCAGUGAAAUGCGUAGAGAUGUGGAGGAAUACCGAUGGCGAAGGCAGCCCCCGGGCCAAAUACUGACGCUCAUGCACGAAAAGCGUGGGGAGCAAAACAGGAUUAGAUACCCUGGUAGUCCACGCCCUAAAACGAUGUCAACUAGUUGUUGGGGAUUCAUUUCCUUAGUAAACGUAGCUAACGCGUGAAGUUGACCGCCUGGGGAGUACGGUCGCAAGAUUAAAAACUCAAAGGAAUUGACGGGGUCAUAGCUGUUUCCU